GUUGUAUAGUCAAGUAAUUAAGUGCAUGUGGUGGAUGCCUUGGCAGUCAGAGGCGAUGAAAGACGUGAUAGCCUGCGAAAAGCUCCGGGGAGGCGGCAAAUAUCCUGUGAUCCGGAGAUGUCUGAAUGGGGAAACCCACUUACCAUAAGGUAGGUAUUGCAUGAUGAAUACAUAGUCAUGCAAGGCGAACGAGGGGAAGUGAAACAUCUCAGUACCCUUAGGAAAAGAAAUCAAUUGAGAU
This 241-nucleotide ribosomal RNA is filed under the name Acinetobacter pseudolwoffii. RNAcentral's name for it is "partial 23S ribosomal RNA". It matches the Rfam family "Bacterial large subunit ribosomal RNA", at positions 1 to 235 of the family's 2925-position model. Lineage: Bacteria; Pseudomonadati; Pseudomonadota; Gammaproteobacteria; Moraxellales; Moraxellaceae. The record is from RNAcentral.